Molecule: long non-coding RNA, 802 nt
Organism: Notothenia coriiceps (black rockcod)
Lineage: Eukaryota; Metazoa; Chordata; Actinopteri; Perciformes; Nototheniidae
Exons: 4
Source: RefSeq, a predicted model, not a curated record
GUGUCCUCGGAAGUGGACCAGAAGAUGACAGCCAAUGACGUUGGGGCAACCACACAGCUCAUUUACAUAAUCACACACAGCUGCAAACAAUCCCAGACAGGUUACCGAGCAGGCAGAAACAGCAGCCGUAACACUCACCACUAUUUUUCCUUUUUAAUGUAUUUACAAUAAACAUUUGUGUGUGUUCACAGUUACUAGAGCUAACAGAGAACUACACACCGGAAGUAUCAGAGUAUAAGGAAGGAAAGCUUGUGAGCUUUGACCCAACCACCGAACAGAUCGAGCUGGAACUUCUUUAUACCUAUCAAGCUCCUGUUGAGCCGGGCAAGUUUGACCUUGUGUAUCAGAACGCAGACGGCUCUGAGAGCGUGGAGUACGCCGUGUCUAGAGGCUCUCAGGUGACAGAGCGCUGGGACUCCCUGCUGGAACCAAGGCUGAUCAUCUAAAAAUGGAUCAAGCUGUUUCUCUACUUAUUUUUUAUUUCAGGAUCCUUCAGCUUGACUUAAACUGGGGAGUCAUUCCUGUGCAUUGUACAUUACGGCUAAGGAAUGUGAUGAAGGUUGAUUAUAUUCUCUUAGAUGUACUCCUCAAUAACUCAUUAUUUGCACAGAAAAGCUAGUGUAGGUGUAAGUAUUGAAAAGUGGAAUAUGUUUUGCAUUCAAGAUAUGAAGUAUUGUGUUUUAAUAUGUUGGUGGAACGAGUGACUUCCAGGACAGAGACAUAAUGGUUUUAUGUUUUGUACAGUAUUGGGUUGAUAUCAGUCUUGUAUAAACCGUUUUUCUAAUAAAAUCCUUGGUCUAUA